AAGAUACUCCCUCCAUCCUAAAAAGCUUGUCCCUCAAAUGGAUGUAUCUAGCAUCAAGUUAGUGCUAGAUACAGUCAUUUGAGCAAAAAGCUUGGGACAAGGUUUUUCGGAUGGAGGGAGUACAAG
Triticum urartu is the source of this 126-nucleotide non-coding RNA. The record is from Rfam. NCBI's taxonomy places the organism in Eukaryota, Viridiplantae, Streptophyta, Magnoliopsida, Poales, Poaceae.